RNAcentral lists this transfer RNA (68 nucleotides) under Apostictopterus fuliginosus. RNAcentral's name for it is "tRNA-Ala". Lineage: Eukaryota; Metazoa; Arthropoda; Insecta; Lepidoptera; Hesperiidae. The record is from RNAcentral.
AGGAUUAUAGUUUAAAUAAAAACAUUUGAUUUGCAUUCAAAAUAUAUUAAUAUAAUUAAUUUAUCUUA